This 374-nucleotide unclassified non-coding RNA is filed under the name uncultured Actinomycetes bacterium. RNAcentral's name for it is "uncultured actinobacterium contains 16S-23S intergenic spacer region". The record is from RNAcentral. Lineage: Bacteria; Bacillati; Actinomycetota; Actinomycetes.
UCCGAGUUGACCCCGGCAGUCUCCCAUGAGUCCCCGGCAUAACCCGCUGGCAACAUGGAACGAGGGUUGCGCUCGUUGCGGGACUUAACCCAACAUCUCACGGCACGAGCUGACGACAACCAUGCACCACCUGUAUACCGCCCUUGCGGACCCCAUAUCUCUAUGAGUUUUCGGUAUAUGUCAAGCCUUGGUAAGGUUCUUCGCGUUGCGUCGAAUUAAGCCACAUGCUCCGCCGCUUGUGCGGGCCCCCGUCAAUUCCUUUGAGUUUUAAUCUUGCGACCGUACUCCCCAGGCGGAAUGCUUAAAGCGUUAGCUGCGCUACUGAAGUGCAAGCACCCCAACAGCUAGCAUCCAUCGUUUACGGUGCGGACUAC